GAUGAACGCUGGCGGCGUGCCUAAUACAUGCAAGUCGAGCGAACAGACGAGGAGUUUGCUCCUCUGACGUUAGCGGCGGACGGGUGAGUAACACGUGGAUAACCUACCUAUAAGACUGGGAUAACUUCGGGAAACCGGAGCUAAUACCGGAUAAUAUAUUGAACCGCAUGGUUCAAUAGUGAAAGACGGUUUUGCUGUCACUUAUAGAUGGAUCCGCGCCGCAUUAGCUAGUUGGUAAGGUAACGGCUUACCAAGGCGACGAUGCGUAGCCGACCUGAGAGGGUGAUCGGCCACACUGGAACUGAGACACGGUCCAGACCCCUACGGGAGGAAGCAGUGGGGAAUCUUCCGAAAGGGGCGAAAGCCUGAGGGGGCAACGCCGCGUGAGUGAUGAAGGUCUUCGGAUCGUAAAACUCUUUUAUUAGGGAAAAAAAAAUGGGUAAGUAACUAUGCACGUUUGGACGGUACCUAAGCAAAAAGCCACGGCUAACUACGG
Molecule: ribosomal RNA, 496 nt
Filed under: uncultured bacterium
Lineage: Bacteria
Description: partial 16S ribosomal RNA
Rfam family: Bacterial small subunit ribosomal RNA
Source: RNAcentral